Long non-coding RNA from Eriocheir sinensis (Chinese mitten crab), 1088 nucleotides. RefSeq lists it as uncharacterized. NCBI's taxonomy places the organism in Eukaryota, Metazoa, Arthropoda, Malacostraca, Decapoda, Varunidae. The transcript has 4 exons. The record is from RefSeq and is a predicted model, not a curated record.
GUAUCAGGCCGCCCUCGAUCAACCGCUGCGUCAGGUGGGUGAUGGGGCCGUGGCAGGGCGCUCCGAUCCUGACGAAGGUGAAGAUUAUAUGGAGAAGGGCAACGUGGUAUUCUGCGACGGAACUACGGAUUUUUGAGGGGACCAGAACGCACGGCCAGCCCUCCCCUACCUCGCCCUCGCCCUCACCUCCAGGCGGGCAUAGACAGCACGCGUGACAGGGUCGGAGCUGCUGGCGAAGAAGUAGAGCGAGGCGCCACCAAGUUUCUCGCUGCCCCACCGCCACCCGCUCCGCCCCACCAGGUCCUCGAAGGAGUCCACGGGCGCCGCCUGGACCCCGACGGUGAAGUGGGCGGCGAGCGAGGACUUGUAGGCGGCCGUCAGCACCAGGCAAGGUGUUCAACGAGGACUCACCAAUGGCCAAUACCUGCCAACCAGCCGUCCUCGCCUCCUCCUCCGCCGCCACCACCCCCGCCUCCCCAUUGACGCAGUAUAGACACCUCUGGAACACUUCGCCAACACCUCCUUUUUCUCCUCCUCCUCCUCCUUCGGCUUUCCCCGUCCUCCUCUUUCGCCUCCAAGCCUCCAUGACUGCGAUUGGACGAUAGAGGGAAGAAUAAAUACAUGCCAUCGUCGCGCGGGGUGAGGCAGAGGGCUCGUCGGGUGUUCCUAAAGGCACGGUGCAUCAGGACUUCCUCAGCCCCCGCCGCCACGCCCACCGCCACCACCACCACAUCCUCGCGCCGCCACAGCCCCGCCGACUCCAGGAAACUGUAUACAUGAGGGGGUAAGUAUCCAUAUCCAUAUUCUUUAAUGUCUCAGGCUCGCGGACUCCCAUGACGACUACUUUCCAUGGCCACAGAGAAGAUUAACCGGGUAUUGAUGAGUGGUUUUCCCGUUCAUGGUUCAGAAGUCGUGUAAAACAAGCCUCAGAAAUGUAAGAGGCGUGCAUAAUUAUUUUACAUGCCUUGCUUUUGUUAGGAGACAGCAAGGACAAGGAAAUGAGGUAAAUGAAGGAAAGCUGGAUGAGGUAGAAGUUUUCUGUUGUUUGGGAGAUGUUCUGGUCUGUGAGGCGGGAGAGUAGAGGACAG